Molecule: ribosomal RNA, 978 nt
Filed under: uncultured Actinomycetes bacterium
Lineage: Bacteria; Bacillati; Actinomycetota; Actinomycetes
Description: bacterial SSU rRNA
Rfam family: Bacterial small subunit ribosomal RNA
Source: RNAcentral
GUCGAACGAGAAAGCCCUUCGGGGUUAGUAAAGUGGCGAACGGGUGAGUAACACGUGGGCAAUCUGCCCUUCGUUGGGGGACAACCGGGGGAAACCCCGGCUAAUACCCCGUAAGCUUGUCGGGUCACAUGGCCUGACAAGGAGAGGUAGCUUCGGCCAUCCGGCGAAGGAGGAGCCCGCGGUACAUUAGCUAGUUGGUGAGGUAACGGCCCACCAAGGCUACGAUGUAUAGCUGGUCUGAGAGGAUGAUCAGCCACACUGGGACUGAGACACGGCCCAGACUCCUACGGGAGGCAGCAGUCGGGAAUCUUGCACAAUGGGCGAAAGCCUGAUGCAGCAACACCGUGUGAGCGAUGAAGGCCCUAGGGUCGUAAAGCUCUGUUGUUAGGGACGAAGGGCGAAGGGUUAAUAGCCCUUAGCCUGACGGUACCUUUCGAGGAAGCCCCGGCUAACUACGUGCCAGCAGCCGCGGUAAUACGUAGGGGGCGAGCGUUGUCCGGAAUUAUUGGGCGUAAAGAGCGUGUAGGCGGCUUGGUAAGUCUGCUGUGAAACCUUGGGGCUCAACCCCAAGCGUGCAGUGGAUACUGUCAAGCUAGAGGAUGGUAGAGGCCAGUGGAAUUCCCGGUGUAGCGGUGAAAUGCGCAGAUAUCGGGAGGAACACCAGUAGCGAAGGCGGCUGGCUGGGCCAUUCCUGACGCUGAGACGCGAAAGCUAGGGGAGCGAACAGGAUUAGAUACCCUGGUAGUCCUAGCCGUAAACGAUGAACACUAGGUGUGGGGGGAGUCGAAUCCCUCCGUGCCGAAGCCAACGCGUUAAGUGUUCCGCCUGGGGAGUACGGCCGCAAGGCUAAAACUCAAAAGAAUUGACGGGGGCCCGCACAAGCAGCGGAGCAUGUUCUUUAAUUCGAUGCAACGCGAAGAACCUUACCUGGGCUGACAUGCAGCUGCAAGCGCACGGAAACGUGUGACUUUCGAGUGC